RNAcentral lists this long non-coding RNA (268 nucleotides) under Elaeis guineensis (African oil palm). RNAcentral describes it as "long non-coding RNA (EGUI_LNC075253)". The record is from RNAcentral. Lineage: Eukaryota; Viridiplantae; Streptophyta; Magnoliopsida; Arecales; Arecaceae.
CUUUCAUUUUCUGAAUAUUUUUCUAGUCUCAGUAGCACUGAACUCCUUUAGAUUUUUGAUAGGAUUUCUUUCUCUUUGUAGAUUUUUGAUAGGAGUAAACCGCUCGUAGUAGAAGUUCAGAGUAGACCGCUCGUAGUAGAAGUUCGGAGUAGACCGCUCAUAGUAGAAGUUCGACUCUCGCAGGAGCUCGGUUGGAAUACUAAAGGCGGUCGAUCACCGUAGAAACUUGGAUGGGGUCUGAUUACUGUAGAAAUCUUGUUGUCGGAGA